RNAcentral lists this ribosomal RNA (252 nucleotides) under uncultured bacterium. RNAcentral's name for it is "partial 16S ribosomal RNA". It matches the Rfam family "Bacterial small subunit ribosomal RNA", at positions 524 to 776 of the family's 1533-position model. The record is from RNAcentral.
UACGUAGGGGGCUAGCGUUAUCCGGAAUUACUGGGCGUAAAGGGUGCGUGGGUGGUUUCUUAAGUCAGAGGUGAAAGGCUACGGCUCAACCGUAGUAAGCCUUUGAAACUGGGAAACUUGAGUGCAGGAGAGGAGAGUGGAAUUCCUAGUGUAGCGGUGAAAUGCGUAGAUAUUAGGAGGAACACCAGUUGCGAAGGCGGCUCUCUGGACUGUAACUGACACUGAGGCACGAAAGCGUGGGGAGCAAACAGG